RNAcentral lists this transfer RNA (359 nucleotides) under uncultured Microcystis sp. Its description in RNAcentral is "partial 16S-23S ribosomal RNA intergenic spacer". The stretch from base 135 to 208 matches the Rfam family "tRNA". Lineage: Bacteria; Bacillati; Cyanobacteriota; Cyanophyceae; Chroococcales; Microcystaceae. The record is from RNAcentral.
AAGGGAGACCUAAUUCAGGUAGGAGACGAAAAAAAAGUAGUCGCUACCAAGAAUCAAUCCCAAAAGGUCGGAGCGAGGCGAAAUUGGCUUUCAAACUAGGUUCUGGGUUCAAACAAGACCUGAAUCAGGAACAAGGGCUAUUAGCUCAGGUGGUUAGAGCGCACCCCUGAUAAGGGUGAGGUCCCUGGUUCGAGCCCAGGAUGGCCCACCUGCACAGGUGGCAAAAACAAGAGAAGCGAGGAAUCAGCACCUUAUCUUACUGACAUAGUAAGAGAGAAUGCUGGCUCUGAGUAAAGAGUCCAGAGGAACCUUGAAAACUGCAUAGAGCUAGGUGAAAAAGCCAAAAAAGAAGACCGCAA